GUGUCAGCCGCCGCGGUAAGACGGAGGAUGCAAGCGUUAUCCGGAAUGAUUGGGCGUAAAGCGUCCGCAGGUGGCAAUUCAAGUCUGCUGUUAAAGCGCAGGGCUUAACUCUGUAAAGGCAGUGGAAACUGAAUAGCUAGAGUGUGGUAGGGGCAGAGGGAAUUCCCAGUGUAGCGGUGAAAUGCGUAGAGAUUGGGAAGAACAUCGGUGGCGAAGGCGCUCUGCUGGACCAUAACUGACACUCACAGGACGAAAGCUAGGGGAGCGAAUGGGAUUAGAUACCCCAGUAGUCCUAGCCGUAAACGAUGGAUACUAGGUGUUGUCUGUAUCGACCCGGACAGUGCCGUAGCUAACGCGUUAAGUAUCCCGCCUGGGGAGUACGCACGCAAGUGUGAAACUUAAAUGAAUUGACGGGG
RNAcentral lists this ribosomal RNA (416 nucleotides) under uncultured cyanobacterium. Its description in RNAcentral is "bacterial SSU rRNA". It matches the Rfam family "Bacterial small subunit ribosomal RNA", at positions 505 to 918 of the family's 1533-position model. Lineage: Bacteria; Bacillati; Cyanobacteriota. The record is from RNAcentral.